UCUCGGCCGGUUAAGGCUUGCGGGGGAAGAUGGAGUAUCCGGUGCUGGGCAUCGCGGAGGCCGCGGACAGCGGCGGGGCUCGGCCAUACAACAGCUCGGAGGAGCGGGAGGGCCGGGAACCGGACGGGCCGCGCUUCGACCGCGAGAGGGCGCGCCGCCUCUGGGAAGCAGUGUCCGGGGCCCAGCCAGUGGGGAGGGAGGAAGUGGAACACAUGAUCCAGAAGAACCAGUGUCUCUUCACCAACACCCAGUGUAAAGUUUGCUGCGCCUUGCUAAUUUCUGAGUCCCAGAAGCUGGCACACUACCAGAGCAAAAAACAUGCCAACAAAGUGAAGAGAUACCUAGCAAUCCAUGGAAUGGAGACGUUAAAGGGGGAAACGAAGAAGCUAGACUCAGAUCAGAAGAGCAGCAGAAGCAAAGACAAGAACCAGUGCUGCCCCAUCUGUAACAUGACCUUUUCCUCCCCUGUCGUGGCCCAGUCGCACUACCUGGGGAAGACCCACGCAAAGAACUUAAAGCUGAAGCAGCAAUCCACUAAGGUGGAAGCUCUGUCGAAACGCCUUACAAACCCUUUCCUUGUGGCCUCCACCUUAGCACUGCACCAGAAUAGAGAGAUGAUAGACCCAGACAAGUUCUGCAGCCUCUGCCACGCGACUUUCAAUGACCCUGCCAUGGCUCAGCAACAUUAUAUGGGCAAGAAACACAGGAAGCAGGAGACCAAGCUCAAACUUAUAGCACACUAUGGGCGGCUGGCCGACCCUGCAGUCACUGACUCAUCAGCUGGGAAGGGCUACCCCUGCAAGACAUGUAAGAUAGUGCUGAACUCCAUAGAACAGUACCAAGCUCACGUCAGCGGCUUCAAACACAAGAACCAGUCACCAAAAACAGUGGCAUCACCUCUGGGCCAGAUUCCCAUGCAAAGGCAACCCAUUCAGAAAGACUCAACCACCUUGGAAAACUAGAGGUGUUUCUGUCCAGCACCCCAGGUUGAACCAGCCGUGAGCCAGCUUCCUGUGACUAUGAAAUGAGCUGGGAAAGGAGUGCAUGUGAUGGCAUCAGAAGCCCUUUGUACAACCUUCACUUCAGACAGCCAGAUCUGAGGAUGGUGCCCAGGCAGCCUCAGCUCCCAUCCUUCACUCAGAAAACUGUUCUUAGGCACCUGCUCUUCGCCAGCUGGGAAAGACCCUACACAGCUCUCCACUUCCAAAGCCUGGACUGCCUUAGCAAUUUCCCCGGAGUCCUUCUGCUCCACCUGAGAUGUCGCAGUCAGCCCCGUCUACCAGGCACGGAAGUGAAGGGCAGAGAGGUGAGAGGGCUGCCACACUGUGAGCCUUGACCUGCAGGACCUCUUCGUCUGCUUUUUUUUUUUUUCUUCUUUUUUUUCUUUUUCUCUUUUUUGGCCAUGCCGCCUGUGGCAUGUGGGAUCUUAGCUCCCUGACCAGGGAUUGAACCCACACCCCCCUGCAUUGGAGGGCAGAGUCUUAACCACUGGACCUCCAGGGACAUCCCAGGACCUCUUAGUCUGGGUUCAGGAGUCCCUGCCAGCUGUGUGGCCAGCCCUGUUGGCCUGGGCACGCAGGAAUGAACACUCUUGCCCUUGGGGAGCUAUACACUGUUAAAGAUGGUUAUGGAGAGUGGUAGAGGGUUAUACAGGGAGCUGUGGGGAUGCAUAAGAUACAGGCACUAACUCAGCCAAGGGUAUGAAAAACUGAAGUUGGGAAACUAGCAUUUCAGCUAGAUGAUGAUAUUCCAUUUUACAGGAAAGGAACAAGGCUCAAAGAGAUAUAGUGACUUACUCAAGUCUUGCUGCUAAGAAGCAGCAAACUAGAGGGUGGAAUCUGGUUCUCUAGAUUCCUAGUCAAGAACCCUUUACAAACAAGGGCCAGAGUACUUCACACAUGACCUUGGGCCUGCCUCACUCAUCUGGCAGGGCCAGGUCUCACAGAACAAAUAGCCCCUCGGCAGCGGCAGCAGCAGAACCCACAAAACGGAUUGGACAAGGCUCGAUGGUUAUUUUAUACUCCUAGCCCCCACACACACCUCUCAUAAUUUUACCCAAGAUUCCUGAUGUGUUAGACUCUAGUUAUAACUGUAAGAAACUUAAAGCAGUUAUCUAAAAAAGGAAAUGUAUUGAUUCACCUAAGGAACAAUCCUUGUACAGGGGUGGCUUAGAUUCAGCUUCUGGCACUGCCAUCAGGAAGAAUUUAAUCUCACUCUGCUUUCCUCUGUGUGGCCUCUUGCCCGGGCAGACUUUCUCCAGAAGUUGGAGAGGGCCCUGGCAGCUUCAGGUUUAUAUCGUGAUAGAUGAGUAGGUGCAGUGGAAAUAACGUCUUUUUCUUGGUUCCAGCAAAAAAUUCUGGAAUUGACUUAUUAGCCUGUUUGGAUCUGUUCCCGUCCCUACACCAAUUGUUGCAGCUGGGGGAAAUGGGGCUCUGAUCGGGGGCCUGCGAAGGCGUAUGCUCUACCUAAAACACAUUGACUGAAAGAGGGAGACAUGUACAUCCCUAAAAGAAGAAAGUGUGGACAUGGGCGGACACAAGUAACUGUUGUCAGCCAUACUCAGAGGGUAUCUUUAUUUGACCAUUUCUUUAAUUUUUUGACAUACAGCGUACAUUCAGCAGCGUGAGCCAACUUUUAGAGUACAGUUUGAUGAGUGUAGUGUAUACAUCCGGGCAGGCGCCAUCCAGAUCAAGAUACAAAACAUUGCCCGUUCCCCAGGAGGUUGCCUCAUUUCCCUUCCUAGUCAGUAUCCCGCGGAAGUGACGCUCUCUUGACCUCUGUCACUGUAGAUGAGUUUUGCUUGCUCUUGAAUUGUAUGAAAAGGGACUCACACACAGCCACUUUUGCUCUAUAUUAUAUCUGUGAGGUUCAGCCACACUACUGUGUAUAUCAGAAAUUCAUUUUUUUUUAAGUUCAUUUCCUUCAUGCUGUAUAGUAUUCCAUCAUAUGACCAUGCCACAGCUUAUCCAGUUUA
Hippopotamus amphibius kiboko is the source of this 2974-nucleotide RNA transcript. It is a transcript of the gene named zinc finger protein 346, with no coding region annotated. NCBI's taxonomy places the organism in Eukaryota, Metazoa, Chordata, Mammalia, Artiodactyla, Hippopotamidae. The transcript has 8 exons. The record is from RefSeq and is a predicted model, not a curated record.